AGACCCGAAACCCGGUGAUCUAGCCAUGGGCAGGUUGAAGGUUGGGUAACACUAACUGGAGGACCGAACCGACUAAUGUUGAAAAAUUAGCGGAUGACCUGUGGCUGGGGGUGAAAGGCCAAUCAAACCGGGAGAUAGCUGGUUCUCCCCGAAAGCUAUUUAGGUAGCGCCUCGUGAAUUCAUCUCCGGGGGUAGAGCACUGUUUCGGCUAGGGGGCCAUCCCGGCUUACCAACCCGAUGCAAACUGCGAAUACCGGAGAAUGUUAUCACGGGAGACACACGGCGGGUGCUAACGUCCGUCGUGAAGAGGGAAACAACCCAGACCGCCAGCUAAGGUCCCAAAGUCAUGGUUAAGUGGGAAACGAUGUGGGAAGGCCCAGACAGCCAGGAUGUUGGCUUAGAAGCAGCCAUCAUUUAAAGAAAGCGUAAUAGCUCACUGGUCGAGUCGGCCUGCGCGGAAGAUGUAACGGGGCUAAACCAUGCACCGAAGCUGCGGCAGCGAACGUAUCACUUAAAGCGAUUCAGCGGGUUACGAUUGACGGAGCGAAGCGACGUCAAAGCGUAUACAAAGUCGAGUCGGUUUAAGGAUACGUUCGUUGGGUAGGGGAGCGUUCUGUAAGCCUGUGAAGGUGGCCUGUGAGGG
Molecule: ribosomal RNA, 643 nt
Filed under: Salmonella enterica subsp. enterica serovar Thompson
Lineage: Bacteria; Pseudomonadati; Pseudomonadota; Gammaproteobacteria; Enterobacterales; Enterobacteriaceae
Also listed under: 9 other names
Description: partial 23S ribosomal RNA
Rfam family: Bacterial large subunit ribosomal RNA
Source: RNAcentral